CAGACCAUUGGGUUGAUAGGCCGGAACUGGAAGCCAGGUAACUGGUGCAGGUGACCGGUACUAAUAGGCCGAGGACUUACCAAC
This 84-nucleotide ribosomal RNA is filed under the name Nocardia terpenica. RNAcentral's name for it is "partial 23S ribosomal RNA". It matches the Rfam family "Bacterial large subunit ribosomal RNA", at positions 2841 to 2925 of the family's 2925-position model. The record is from RNAcentral. Lineage: Bacteria; Bacillati; Actinomycetota; Actinomycetes; Mycobacteriales; Nocardiaceae.